GCCCGAGUGGCGGAACUGGUAGACGCGCACGACUCAAAAUCGUGUUCCUUCACGGAGUGCCGGUUCGAUUCCGGCCUCGGGUA
Molecule: transfer RNA, 83 nt
Filed under: Xanthocytophaga agilis
Lineage: Bacteria; Pseudomonadati; Bacteroidota; Cytophagia; Cytophagales; Rhodocytophagaceae
Also listed under: 1 other name
Description: tRNA-Leu
Rfam family: tRNA
About the family: Transfer RNA (tRNA) molecules are approximately 80 nucleotides in length. Their secondary structure includes four short double-helical elements and three loops (D, anti-codon, and T loops).
Source: RNAcentral